AGGACGCCAGAGAGGGUUGGAGUGAAAGGUGACCGUGGGGGCACAGGCAGCGAGGCUGUGUACAGCAGAAGACUACGAAUUAAAAAUACACCCGUGGGUGGGGUGGCAGGGAGGCUGCUGGUAACCUUUACGAGAGCUGGUGUUCUGGAGAGCUGCAGGCAGAUGGCAGAUGGCAAUGUGUAGAGGAGAGAAGGGAGUGAGAAGAGGAGGUGGCGAGCUUCGUCAUGGGAAGGACAGAGCGAGCUGUGGUUGGAAGGGGGAGCCGAAUCAAGGAGCUGAAUUUAUUUCCGGAAGAGGACAGAAAAAAAAAAAAAUCAACAGUAUCGGCUGGUAGGGAAGAGCAAACGUAAGUUCUGAAGGUCAGAGAGAGGAGACAGCUGAACGAGGCCUUGGCAGAGGCGAGGAGACAGGAGCUCAGGAUGAAAUGGCUUUCCAAUGGAAUUCUUCUCUGAGAUGAGAGGAAAUUAACUAAGGAAAGGUGAUACUGGAUGAGGCAGGGGGUGAGCUGAUGUGAACCAAGAGUUGCCCCACAGCCAAUGGAGACUUCUGAGAAAGUUAGAAGAGUCGGACGAGCAUGAAGAAUGUCCGAAGCAAAUGCUGUCUCGAUCCAUAGAUGGUUUGUUUCCUCAGUCAAGGCUUGGGCUGGCAUCAGAGAGCAGAGCUGGGCUUAGCAGCAGGGUGAGGACUUCUGCUGUUUAGAGAAUAAAGUUCACUUGCGUCCAGGGACAUGGAGGCAGUAGACCUUGCGAUUCAAACUGCUGCGGUCCUAAGUCUUCAGGAUAAUUCAGUGGUUUCCACAGUCCCGACUACAGCACCCUCAGGGUCCUAGGAGAUCUGUACCCUUUCUCAUCAGGACUUCCUGGGAAGACGUGAACAAAUGCCUAUUCACUUCAGAGAGGGCACAGAUGACGGACAAAAGCAAUGAUUCCAUUCAAGUCCAGCUGGCUGAACCAAAUGCAAACUCCAUGAGGGAAUAUGCCUGCUUCGCUCACUCCUGUCUUCUGACAAUCUAAAACAGUACCUGACUCAGUGCAUAAAAUGCCAUCCACCAGAGGCCAAAACAGGACAGGUGGCAGCCACUGGAACUGGAAAUGAGGUGCCAAGAUAAUGGAUGGAGGGACCCACAGGCCAGCUCUGAGGGAGGGCUCCCUCACAGGCCCCAUUGUGUUUCCCGUAAUGAACAGACUGUAACACGCGAGGGCCCCAUUACCACUUGGAUUCCCUGGAUUUUACGAAUCUUCUUCUCGUGCGUGGGCCUUCGCACAACUGCUUUUGAUGAAGCCCACGUGAUUACGAUGACUGGACAGGGCUGGGUCACCCCACACCCCGGGCUUCACACCAAGUAACAGGGGAAGUGGUAGUUCUGCAUGGGACGAUUCUCCAAGACUCUGGGAAAUUCCCAAACUAGCUGGCUGGCACGGGUAACCCCCAGUGAACUGGAUUUGUAAUAGUUAGAGGCUUUGUGAGUCAGAAACCUGUAGGCUCUUGAACCAUCACCUGGCUUUAAAAGGCAGAAUUAUGCCGGGCGGUGGUGGCGCACGCCUUUAAUCCCAGCACUCGGGAGGCAGAGGCAGGCGGAUCUCUGUGAGUUCGAGGCCAGCCUGGGCUACCAAGUGAGUUCCAGGAAAGGCGCAAAGCUACACAGAGAAACCCUGUCUUGAAAAACCAAAAAAAAAAAAAAGGCAGAAUUAUGAGGCCGCCAGUUGAGCGGGUGUUGGGCCCUGUCGACCACUCUUGUCUUCCUUCCACAGGAGGACACCUUUGGCGCCUCUUCCCAUAACAGGGUGGAGGGGGCUGAGUCUUGAGCAUUAAGACCCCUGCUUCAGACUCUCCCCUCUCACAGCCUCUGACCUUUCUGCAUCCACAACUGCUUCGCACACCAGAACCCAAACUUCCUAUCACUUGGGCUGGUGCAGUGAGGGGUUUCUAAGUUGAGGAAAAUCCCGGAGUUAGGGGUUUUGCACCUCCUAAUAGUGGUCUAUUUCCUAAGGCAGGCAACGGAAGCUUCUGUGCUUUCUCACCUGUGAUCAGAAGCUAAGCAAGAGUGGAGAGGAUUUCAGCCUUCACGAAAGAGCUUGCUUGGGAACUUGUGGGUGAACAGGAAGCGUCUUUCCAUUCCCGGUCCAUCAAAAUAUGCCACAAGGGCCUGGGGUUAGGCAGUAUGCCUCCAUGAAAGAAGAAUGGGGAUGAUUCUUAUUAUGAGCCAAUGCUUUGAGAGUGUUUCAUCUAGCUAGUUGGAAUUCCAGGAAUCUGUCCCACAGAAAGAAAAUCAGAGACACAGACAAUAUUUGUGUUGAUGAUGUUCCUUGCAAGGGUAUCUCCUAGCUGCUAGAAUACUUAUCAUGAGAACUGGUCACAGAAUCCCAAUAGAGGGACAACAGCCUUAUAUUAGAGUGUCAACCUCUGGAGUGGCUGGGUUUUUUUUUUUUUAAAUUUACUAAGAAGAAAGAUUGGAAGGACGAUGCACCUCAGCUCCUUUCUGUAUGAAUUCAAUUUUAUCUUCACACAUUUUUGUUCUUUAAUGGGCACAGGAAAAUAUAAGUGGUGCAGACCAGCCACUUUCAGAGGGCCUCCUUCCCAGUGACAGUGGGUUUCUCCCUUUCUCCUCAUGGCUGUUCCAUACUCUAGAAAUAGGUCAUUCUUUUGUAAUCAGUGUAAGUAGAAGAGAAACAAAAGAAAAAAGAACUGUGGAUGAAGACUUGUGUUCAGAUGUACCCUGUACUGCUAGCCGAGUACCUUCCGUCAAUCUUGAUCAACAUGGUUGAUCUUUCUUUCUCCUAUGGGAACACAAUGCCUCUGUCCCAAGGAAAACAACAAUAAGGAAACCUGGUGAAUAAGAAGCUAUAAAACUGCAGUUCCAAGCUUGAUAUGGUGGGUCUUAGAGAGUUUCUUUCCAGAACUCUGUGGCCUACCCCGGGGGGUGAUGGUGGGGGAGUCCAGGAGACAGUGCCUGAUUCAGCCUGAAUCCUGCGGCAAGUCAGACAAUGAGGGCUUUUCCUUCCUGUAAAUGAAAGGGCUAUGUGAACCCAAGGUUCUUCCCCCACUAACAUGCACCUCUUGGCUACCAGGCAGGAGGAGUACUUCCUAUUAACGCCUGCAGGGUUUGGCCAGGAUGUUUUUCUAGGGCAUCCUCAACCACCUGGUACAACAGUGGCAUUCUUCAGGCCCAUUCUUGACCUUUCUGUGUGAGUAACAGACAGGAGUAAUUCUAAAUCACAAAGCAAACAAGGAUGUGCUUCUGAAAUGCUGAACAAGUUUGUAAAAGAAUAUGUGAUUUAAUUAGCAAACAGAAAAAUUGAUAACAUGAGCUCAAUACAUAUGGAAAAGUAUUGUCUUCCCGCCCACAAUUGACACAGUCAUAGAGAAAGCUGCUUUGGUCCUGCAAACACAGUGAAUAAUGCCAGAGAGUUGCUGAGUUCAGGAGCAUUUGGGAAGGCUGUAAUUCAGGGCAAUCAGAGGGUUAAUAAAAGAGCUCCUGUGACCCUUG
Peromyscus californicus insignis is the source of this 3487-nucleotide long non-coding RNA. RefSeq lists it as uncharacterized. The record is from RefSeq and is a predicted model, not a curated record. Lineage: Eukaryota; Metazoa; Chordata; Mammalia; Rodentia; Cricetidae. The transcript has 5 exons.